This 437-nucleotide ribosomal RNA is filed under the name uncultured bacterium. Its description in RNAcentral is "bacterial SSU rRNA". It matches the Rfam family "Bacterial small subunit ribosomal RNA", at positions 338 to 793 of the family's 1533-position model. The record is from RNAcentral.
CCUACGGGUGGCUGCAGUGGGGAAUAUUGCACAAUGGGCGAAAGCCUGAUGCAGCGACGCCGCGUGAGUGAAGAAGUAUUUCGGUUUGUAAAGCUCUAUCAGCAGGGAAGAUAAUGACAGUACCUGACUAAGAAGCCCCGGCUAACUACGUGCCAGCAGCCGCGGUAAUACGUAGGUGGCGAGCGUUGUCCGGAUUUACUGGGCGUAAAGGGAGCGUAGGUGGCUAGGUAAGUCAGGUGUGAAAGCCCGGGGCUCAACCCCGGGAUUGCACUUGAAACUACUUAGCUAGAGUGCAGGAGAGGUAAGUGGAAUUCCUAGUGUAGCGGUGAAAUGCGUAGAUAUCAGGAGGAACACCGGUGGCGAAGGCGGCCUGCUGGACUGCAACUGACGUUGAGGCCCGAAAGCGUGGGGAGCAAACAGGAUUAGAUACCGAGUAG